This 253-nucleotide ribosomal RNA is filed under the name uncultured bacterium. RNAcentral's name for it is "partial 16S ribosomal RNA". It matches the Rfam family "Bacterial small subunit ribosomal RNA", at positions 524 to 776 of the family's 1533-position model. The record is from RNAcentral.
UACAGAGGUCCCAAGCGUUGUCCGGAUUUACUGGGCGUAAAGAGCGCGCAGGCGGCUGGUCAAGUCCGAUGUGAAAUCUCCCGGCUCAACUGGGAAACUGCAUCGGAAACUGAUCGGCUUGAAGGUGGGAGAGGGUAGUGGAAUUCCAGGUGUAGCGGUGAAAUGCGUAGAUAUCGGGAGGAACAUCAGUGGCGAAGGCGGCCUUCUGGUCCAGUACUGACACUCAAGUGCGAAAGCGUGGGGAGCAAACAGG